GUGCUAACCACAGACGGCUUCCAACACGUGAAGCCAUGCUGCCCGCCCCGGCAGGGUUCCCCUUGUUACAGGGUCGUAGGGCUGCUGCCAAGGUUUUUUUUCCUUUUUCUCUCUUUCCUUUUCUUUCUUUCCUUUUCUUCUGUCCUUUUCUUCUGUCCUGUUGAUUUUUUAUCUUCCCUUGUUUUUCUUUCCUUUCCUUUUUCUUCUGUCAUUUUUUUCCCUUUAUUCUCUUUCCUUUUUUUUUUCUUUCCUUUUUCCUUUCCUCGUCUUUCCCUUGUCUUUCCCUUUUUCUUUCUUCCCUUUCUCUUUUCUCUUUUUUAUUUCCUUUUCCUUUCCUUUUUUCUCUUCCUUUUUUUCCUCUUUGUUUCCCCCCUUUCCCUUUCCCCUUUUGUCUUUUUUUCUUUCCUCUUUUCUCUCCCUUUUCCUUUCCUUUUUUCUCCUUCCCUUUUUCUUAUUUUUUCUUUCUUUCUUCUCGCUUUCCUUCUCUUUCCCUUUUUUCUCUUUAUUUCUCUCUCCUUUUUCUUCUCUUCCCUUUUCUCUUUGGUUCUUUCUCUUCCUUUUUUUCAUUUCCUUUCUCUUUCCAUUUUCUCUUUCCAUUUUCUCUCCUGUUUCUUUCCCCUUUUCUUUCCUUUUUAUCUCUUUUCUCUCUUUCCUUUCUCCUCUUUCCUUUUUUUCACUUUCUUUUUUUUUCUAUUUCUUUUCUUAUCUUCCCAUUUUUAUUUUCUUUCUUUUCUCUUUCCUUUUUUUUUCUCUUUCCCGUUUUUACAGAUUAGGUCCAGGUUGAGCUGUUUCAAACAGGAAUGCACAAUGUUUCCUUACAGCUGUGAUGUCUUCUUUGCUCAUGCAAAGAAGCCAGAAGCUCCUGAUUUUUUCCCCGCAGCCUGUCCCCUUUUGGAGACUAAAAGCACCUCUGGCCAGGCGACUCAACUCUUCCUUGAUGCAUGCCCACGACAACCUUGUGGGGCUCUGAUGGCUCUCGAGCCCCGUUCAGCAUGUUCUAGUGACACUGCUGGCUGGUCAGAUGCUUCUCGUGGCCCGCAAGCAGGAAGAGGCAAUGGCAGCAGGUGCCCGGGGGAUUAUGGAGGGGCCCUGCGAAGCAGGACGGGAGCUCUCCAGGCAGCACCUGGAGGGCAUUUGCGGUGCAGAGACAUUUGA
This 1155-nucleotide long non-coding RNA is filed under the name Apteryx owenii (little spotted kiwi). RNAcentral describes it as "lncRNA (ENSAOWG00000007307.1)". The record is from RNAcentral. Lineage: Eukaryota; Metazoa; Chordata; Aves; Apterygiformes; Apterygidae.